UGACCUCGGAUCAGGUAGGGAUACCCGCUGAACUUAGGCAUAUCAUA
RNAcentral lists this ribosomal RNA (47 nucleotides) under Parastagonospora nodorum. RNAcentral describes it as "partial 26S ribosomal RNA". The record is from RNAcentral. Lineage: Eukaryota; Fungi; Ascomycota; Dothideomycetes; Pleosporales; Phaeosphaeriaceae.